AAUCAACGCUGGCGGCGUGCCUCAGACAUGCAAGUCGAACGAUUAAAGCUCUCUUCGGAGAGUGUAUAGAGUGGCGCACGGGUGAGUAACACGUAAGUAAUCUACCCUCGAGUGGGGAAUAACAACCGGAAACGGUUGCUAAUACCGCAUAAUGCAGCGGCACCGCAAGGUGACAGUUGUUAAAGAUUUAAUCGCUUGAGGAGGAGCUUGCGGCAGAUUAGCUAGUUGGUAGGGUAACGGCUUACCAAGGCUACGAUCUGUAACCGGUCUAAGAGGACGGUCGGUCACACUGACACUGAAUAACGGGUCAGACUCCUACGGGAGGCAGCAGUCGGGAAUUUUGGGCAAUGGGCGAAAGCCUGACCCAGCAACGCCGCGUGAAGGAUGAAGUAUUUCGGUAUGUAAACUUCGAAAGAAUAGGAAGAAUUAAUGACGGUACUAUUUAUAAGGUCCGGCUAACUACGUGCCAGCAGCCGCGGUAAU
RNAcentral lists this ribosomal RNA (483 nucleotides) under uncultured bacterium. RNAcentral's name for it is "bacterial SSU rRNA". It matches the Rfam family "Bacterial small subunit ribosomal RNA", at positions 32 to 524 of the family's 1533-position model. The record is from RNAcentral.